AACGCACGAGACCUGCGGACCUGCGGAGGGAUCAUUACCGAGUCUCCGACUCCCAAACCACUGUGAACCUACCUCUUUUUAGCGCUCCGCCGGGUCGGUCCCAGGGGGCCGGCUGCCGCUAGGCGCCUGGCGGAGCUCUGGAAAAUCUCUCUCAGCGAGCUUCUGAGUCUUGUCUCUAAAAGAGUCACAACUUUCAACAACGGAUCUCU
RNAcentral lists this unclassified non-coding RNA (209 nucleotides) under soil metagenome. RNAcentral's name for it is "partial contains 5.8S ribosomal RNA, internal transcribed spacer 2, and large subunit ribosomal RNA". The record is from RNAcentral.